GACAGAGGCCUCAAGCGUUAGGCGGAAUCACUGGGCUUAAAGCGUGUGUAGGCGGAUCGUUAAGUGUCUUGUGAAAUCCCACGGCUCACCCGUGGAACGGCUGGGCAUACUGGCGAUCUUGGGCCAACUAGGGGCAACUGGAACAAGCGGUGGAGCGGUGAAAUGCGUAGAUAUCGCUUGGAACGCCCGAAGGUGAAAACAGGUUGCUGGGGUUGUGCCGACGCUGAGACACGAAAGCCAGGGGGAGCAAACGGGG
This 256-nucleotide ribosomal RNA is filed under the name uncultured bacterium. RNAcentral describes it as "partial 16S ribosomal RNA". It matches the Rfam family "Bacterial small subunit ribosomal RNA", at positions 524 to 777 of the family's 1533-position model. The record is from RNAcentral.